This 583-nucleotide long non-coding RNA is filed under the name Homo sapiens (human). RNAcentral describes it as "long non-coding RNA PTCSC2-e". The record is from RNAcentral. Lineage: Eukaryota; Metazoa; Chordata; Mammalia; Primates; Hominidae.
CUUAAGGAACAAGGCCAUUUUCAUUGUGUGGAGAACAGUGGUGUUUGAAAUAGCAGGAACAGGCAGAAAGGAGGUUUGGUCACCUUAUUUUAAACAGCUAAAGCCACCCAAAUCUCUAUUUCUGUUCUCUCAUACCUGGAGUCCCAGCUACUUGGGAGGCUGAUGUGGGAGGAUCACUUGAGCGCAGGAGUUUGAGGCUGCAGUGAGCCAUGAUUGUGCCACUGCACUCCAGCCUGGGUGGCAGAGAGAGAUCCUAUAUCCAGUUCGAAUACAUAGCCAUGUCAGUGGGAAGGAAAAACAGUUGCUCCUUUGGUAGAAAUGGCUACUGGAGGAAAUUUGAUUCAUUGAAGAACUUGGCUUGGGAAUUUGCAGACUGGUAGCACUCAUCAAGGCCUUGGAGAUCUUCGGAUUCUACCCCCUCAUCUUGGAAUCAGGAAACUGCAGGGGAUUGCCCAGGGGCACAGAUGUCCCAGGCUCCUGGGUGGGUUGGAACCAUCAAGCUCCCUGAAGAAAGGCUCCCAAGACAGGGAACAUAAUUAUUCCCCCAGGACAGAGUUGGACUUCAAGUGCAGCUUUCCACCAU